Long non-coding RNA from Armigeres subalbatus, 964 nucleotides. RefSeq lists it as uncharacterized. NCBI's taxonomy places the organism in Eukaryota, Metazoa, Arthropoda, Insecta, Diptera, Culicidae. The transcript has 3 exons. The record is from RefSeq and is a predicted model, not a curated record.
ACUCUGCCUUAUGAAACAUCAAAAAUUCAUUCCAUUUCUGUUUCAUAAGACCCUUAUUAAAAACAUAACAAACUUCACAAAAUUCAUAACUUUACCUUAUGAAAUUUAUAACCCAUACUUGUGUAAUAUUUUCAUACGGUGUACUUAUGAAAGAACAUGCGUUCAUUUCUGAGUUUAUUUUUGAGUGACAUUUCAGGAGUAAAAAGUGCACGUAACGUGGAAGCAGCCUCAACGGAAGGGAAUCAACCUCGGCAGCGGAAUGACCGAAAAACUCGUUUUCCGGCUUUAUUAUCAGCGUCGAAGAUGACCAAUGGCAAUGCUCUGGGGACCGGCACCGCUGCUAUGGAGCGAUCAAAACUAUACGUAUACGAGCACGAAGUUGGCGAACGGAAGAACGUCAGGAGUGGAAUUGUUGCAAACUAUCCUCAAUCAACGAUGUUUCGGAAUCCUUGCUUUGUCGAUCGGCUCGAUCUUGGAUGAUAGAAACUCGGAGGGAAAUAUUCAACAACUGCCACAAGAACCGAAAACUGCUAAGAUCCCAACAUCAAUCGACAAUCCGGCACACGGGCAAUCAUUGAAAAAUUGAUUAAAUAGUUAAUGCAAUCUAUUGGAAGAACGAUCAACCACACUCUGGAAUACAUCCAUGAACAAGAAGGUAGAAGGGAACAUCUAAAAAAGAUAAGUAUAAUUUCAAUUGUUUUAAUUACUUUAAAUGUGAAACAUAUUUGUUUGUUAGACAUUUGGGUUAUAAGCUUAAAGGAUUAUUUGUGAUUGUUUACAUACUUUUUAUUCAGCAUUAUUAUAAUAGAUCUGACAAAUGGUCGCAGUGAUUGAAAUACCAACAAGGAAAAACAUCAGCAUUGUCCGCUUCUAUUGGAAUAUUAGACAAACUAAGGCUAAAAGGUGCUAAAAGAUUAAGCUGAAGCGGAAAUUUUACUAAGGCAUUCGAUUAUAAAUUGUGGGA